Molecule: unclassified non-coding RNA, 355 nt
Filed under: Hevea brasiliensis (rubber tree)
Lineage: Eukaryota; Viridiplantae; Streptophyta; Magnoliopsida; Malpighiales; Euphorbiaceae
Source: RNAcentral
ACAAAAAAAAAAAAAAAAAAUCCCACAAAGCAUACCCUAAGGAUACUUAGGACAUGUUCACUAGUGAAAAUCUGGAAUAGUUUUUUGGAAAAAUUUUUUAAGACAAGAAAAUAGAGCUUUGUCUUCAAUGUGCUGGUUUUCUAGUUUUCCAAAUGAAGAACUGGAAACUACUUUUCUAGUUUUAUAAAAUUUAAUUAAGUUUUAAAAAGUAUCUUUAAGUUGUCUUUUUUACUAUUUUCCUUUAUUAAAAAUGUUCUGUUUUCUAACUGUUUUCCAAAAGAAAAACAAUGACUUUUCUAUCACCAAAAUUAUACUUAGAACUAUUUAGUAAUUAAAAUUGAAUAAUUAUUUAGGA